GAUGAACGCUGGCGGUAUGCUUAACACAUGCAAGUCGAACGGACUCUUCGGAGUUAGUGGCGGACGGGUGAGUAACGCGUGAGAAUCUGGCUUUGGGUUCGGGACAACCACUGGAAACGGUGGCUAAUACCGGAUGUGCCGAGAGGUAAAAGAGAAAUUGCCUGAAGAUGAGCUCGCGUCUGAUUAGCUAGUUGGUGAGGUAAAGGCUCACCAAGGCAGCGAUCAGUAGCUGGUCUGAGAGGAUGACCAGCCACACUGGGACUGAGACACGGCCCAGACUCCUACGGGAGGCAGCAGUGGGGAAUUUUCCGCAAUGGGCGAAAGCCUGACGGAGCAAUACCGCGUGAGGGAAGAAGGCUCUUGGGGUGUAAACCCCUUUUCUUAGGGAAGAACAAAAUGACGGUACCUAAGGAAUCAGCAUCGGCUAACUCCGUG
This 435-nucleotide ribosomal RNA is filed under the name uncultured bacterium. RNAcentral describes it as "partial 16S ribosomal RNA". It matches the Rfam family "Bacterial small subunit ribosomal RNA", at positions 28 to 507 of the family's 1533-position model. The record is from RNAcentral.